UACAGAGGUCCCAAGCGUUGUUCGGAUUCACUGGGCGUAAAGGGUGCGCAGGUGGGUUUGCAAGUUCGAUGUGAAAGCCCCGGGCUUAACCCGGGAAUGGCAUUGGAUACUGCAGAUCUGGAGGAUCGGAGGGGGGACUGGAAUUCUUGGUGUAGCAGUGAAAUGCGUAGAUAUCUGGAGGAACACCGGUGGCGAAGGCGGCAUCCUGGACCGAUUACUGACGCUGAGGCGCGAAAGCUAGGGGAGCAAACGGG
Molecule: ribosomal RNA, 254 nt
Filed under: uncultured bacterium
Lineage: Bacteria
Description: partial 16S ribosomal RNA
Rfam family: Bacterial small subunit ribosomal RNA
Source: RNAcentral